GUGAUCCACCUGCCUUGGCCUCGCAAAGUGCUGGGAUUACAGAUGUGAGCCACCGCCCCCGGCCAGUAAUUCAUUUUGGAAAGCACCUGACCUGUUCCUUUCCAGGGUGUACCAGCCACAGGCAACGAUUCGCUUGGAAAGCUUCUGACCUGGUCCUUUACUGUCCUCCGGCCUGCAAGACCCAGAUUUGGCUUGGGUUUGGCCAUAUUACCUUUGCCUGGAAGGACCAACAGGCACAGAGUGACUGACUCACAGCUUUUCUACCAAGUGGUUGUCAAGCGUUUCCUCGCAUGCCUUCAUUGAUGGAGAGCUCACUACAUCCCCAGCCAGCCCAGAUGGAAAGGGCAGUCCUUUGGUGUUUUCACAGAAAUUCCCCUACCGUGGAAACCAGAAGUGGGGAGCGAGGAGCACCUGCUUAGCUAAUCCUGCCAGAGGCUCGAACAUCCCCUCAGCCAUCAGCUCUGAAGGGGCCCUUGGAGAUCACCUGGCCCCACGGCCUGAUUGCACAGAGAUGGAAGCAACUUCUCUAGGCACAAGCCAUCAGUGGCAGGUCUUCCUCUAAUUGCACUGGCAGCUGACAUUGGUUGAGCCCCUGAUUACCUUCCAGGAACUUUGAUCACCGCUUUAUGCUGUAUGAUCUCAUGUAAUUCAAGCUGCUGUUGGGCACUUGUAAGAUGGUUAUUACUCACAUAACAGAUGAGGUGACCAAGGUUCAAAGAAAUAAAAUAAUUUGUCCAAAGUCA
Long non-coding RNA from Cercocebus atys (sooty mangabey), 743 nucleotides. RefSeq lists it as uncharacterized. NCBI's taxonomy places the organism in Eukaryota, Metazoa, Chordata, Mammalia, Primates, Cercopithecidae. The record is from RefSeq and is a predicted model, not a curated record. The transcript is spliced from 2 exons.